UGCACUUCGCAGCCUUACCUCGAGCGCUGCCCAUUUCUCACACUGCCGGCUGCCCGGCCCCACGGAGCGCCUCUCCCUAAUCCCAGCCCCUCGGCACGGGUAAUUAUAGCUCUGGCGCAGCUCCACCAUUUCUCUCGUAUCAAACAAUCUCCGCUCGCUCGCUUUAUACGGACCGAGUCAAGAACGACUCGGGACCGGAGGGACCCGUCCUGCGCCCCGCUGCGUGACCUUGAGAGAGCGGCAGGCGCCACCGGAGGCGCCGAGCAGAGCGAGAGCGGGCGGAGCGAGCCGGCAGCGCCGCGGACGGGCCGGGAGACGGCGCCCCGCUCGCCUCGCAGAGCCGCUCCCAGCCGCAGGCGGCCCCGGCCGCGCCCUUUCGGAGCCGCUCCUCCCUCUCCUCCCGCUUUCGAACCCUCGCCCCGCCGCCCGCCCUCGGAGCCCCGCGCCGCGCACCCGGAAGGCGGGCGCCCGUCCCCGUCCCGGCUUCGCGCGGCGCGGCGCGCAGGCGCGGGAAGCGGUCGGCGUCUGCGCGGUCGCGCGCUGCACGGCCGGGGGCGGCCGCCGCGCCUCGCCUAUGGUCGGGGCCCCGCCGAGGACGGCCCCGCCCUCCGACCCCCGCCCCUCCCCGGCAGCGCCGCGGCUGUUACACCGGGUAGGUUUCCAGUCACUAUGGCGGCCGCUGCGCUGAAGGUCGGAGGAAAGUUUUCGCGGCCGGCGGCUGCCUGAGAGGCAGAGCUACCGAGCGGGCCCGGCCGCCAGGCCCUCUCACAGCGCCGGGCCCGAAGGAGCCGCGCUCGGCGGGCGGAGAAGGCUCUGGGCGGCCCCCCAUGAGCGGCCACCUGCGGAGGGGCUGAGCGGAGCCGCGCGGCCGCCCCCCGCCCCCCGACCCGCCGCUCGGAGCGCCGCUCCCCGCGCCGGGGGCUUCGGAGGCACUUCCUGGAGCGGCCCCCGCGACCCCCCGCCCGCCGGCGGCGACCCGGAGCCGCGGCGAGCUGUCAGCGCGCCCGGGGCCCAGCGAGCCGGCCGCCCGCCCGGCCCUGAGAGGCGAGCCGCGAGCUCCUCCGUGCCCCGGCGAGCUCCGAGCGGCCGCGCGGGGCUGUAGAGCGCUUCGGCUUCGUCUGCGGUCGGGGAGGAGAGCGGCGUUGCUCCGGUAGCCCGGCCCGAGGAGCGCCCGUCUGCUUUGACGCGCGAAGAUGGUGAGAUGCGGACUGCGCUGUGACACGACCCGCUCCCCGCUGCGGAGUGCGGGCUCUGCGGCCGCCUUCCCGCUCGCUGCGCUCUGAGGGAGGACGCCGGUCCUUUUCCCCCUUCCAUAAACCUCUCCUUGCUUCCAUGGUGCGGUGGUCAGCGUUGUUUACGGAAGGGGGAAAAAAAAGGAGGCGGUCGAGGUCCCAAACAAAAGUAUUUGUAUGACUCAUCCGCCUGGAUUUAAGACGUUCUCUCCCUCUGUCGAGGAGCCUUUCCUUCUGUCUGAAGAAAUCAGAUGCUCGUUCCUGUUCUUCCAGAGGAGGGUGGAUUAAAAGUGGUACGUUUUAGACGUUUUCUGGGCCACUGCUGAUGUUGUUAAGAGACAUAAUGGGGCUUUUUCACUGGAUUAUUGCCAGAAUUAGUUUACACACUGAAACAAUGAGUUGUUAGGCCUCUCGUAUGCGGUAAUGUUUGUCGUGCUUUAACGUAAACUUGCUGUGGAGGUUUGGCUUAAAAAUUGUGGAGGACGAUCUGCAUC
RNAcentral lists this long non-coding RNA (1726 nucleotides) under Phasianus colchicus (ring-necked pheasant). RNAcentral's name for it is "lncRNA (ENSPCLG00000000697.1)". The record is from RNAcentral. Lineage: Eukaryota; Metazoa; Chordata; Aves; Galliformes; Phasianidae.